ACUGGAGAUGGCGACCGGCGCACGGGUGAGUAACACGUAUCCAACCUGCCGAUAACUCGGGGAUAGCCUUUCGAAAGAAAGAUUAAUACCCGAUGGCAUAAUAGAACCGCAUGGUUGAUUAUUAAAGAAUUUCGGUUAUCGAUGGGGAUGCGUUCCAUUAGGCAGUUGGUGGGGUAACGGCCCACCAAACCUUCGAUGGAUAGGGGUUCUGAGAGGAAGGUCCCCCACAUUGGAACUGAGACACGGUCCAAACUCCUACGGGAGGCAGCAUG
This 272-nucleotide ribosomal RNA is filed under the name uncultured bacterium. Its description in RNAcentral is "partial 16S ribosomal RNA". It matches the Rfam family "Bacterial small subunit ribosomal RNA", at positions 81 to 353 of the family's 1533-position model. The record is from RNAcentral.